UGCAUUGUUGCAGGUGUGGUCAUCAAAACCAAAAAGAAGCCCAAUACUUCUGUUAUACCUGCCGUGGAGGUUGAGCCUCUAGGAUGCUUAUUCAAUCUGCCAUAUGAAAGUCAUCAGGAUGCAUUAGCUUUUGCUGUUGCAGAUGAAAUGCAGAAAAUUUCGUUGAAAUGAAUUGGGACCGGAGCCUAUUCCAUUGAUUGUUUCUGGAGAAACAGUUAAUGAAGAAGAUAUGUAUUUCCUUGAAGCGGAUAGUGGCAGUGACACGAAGAAUGAAAAACUAGUGAAAGACGGAAACACAAAUUUGGAGAAAAGGUAAGCUUCUAUAUUGCUUGUCUGUCUUGAUAGUUUUUUUCUAUUGAAGCAUGUUCUAUUCUUUGCUUGCUCAGUACUCAGGAUUAUUUAAAAUUAUAAUAUUACUUGAAAAUCCAGCCAUCAUACUUUGAACUAUGCAAUUUAUUCACCUCUAUCUAUUCAUAUUCGUGGAGUCCCCUUAUAAUAGUGAAUAUGAGCUUCUUUGACAAUCUUUGAGCUUCAGGCUUCAGAGAAAUAGAUGGCAAUUUAAUGUGUUAAAUCUACAUGAUGAAUUAUACUGACAGUAAAUUUAAUUACAUGUUAAUCUCUGGACACUUGUUACACCCAAUUAGACAUAGAGAAAACUUAUGAUCACUUGAAUCGGGAAUAUUUGUGGAGCACACCAGAAGGAUAGGGUUUGGCAUCACCUGGAUUAAGGGUGUGUCUGGUAUGGAGGAAAAUGUUUUCCUGGAAAACAAGCGUUUUGGACUUAU
This is a long non-coding RNA of Solanum lycopersicum (tomato), 785 nucleotides long. RefSeq lists it as uncharacterized. The record is from RefSeq and is a predicted model, not a curated record. Lineage: Eukaryota; Viridiplantae; Streptophyta; Magnoliopsida; Solanales; Solanaceae.